Molecule: non-coding RNA, 3066 nt
Organism: Rattus norvegicus (Norway rat)
Lineage: Eukaryota; Metazoa; Chordata; Mammalia; Rodentia; Muridae
Source: RefSeq, a predicted model, not a curated record
CGGAAAAGGAGAAAAAGCAGAAGGAGCAGAAGGAGCAGGAAGAGCAAGAGAACGAAGAGGACCAGGAGAACCAGGAACACCAGGAGGAGGAGGAGGAGAAAUAAUGAGUGACUGUGUCUACGUAUAUUGGAAGAGUUUGCUGGGGUAUUAAUCUUCAUUGGAGAAAUGUGUACUCAAAGAAUUACUGAUGUAGAGUCUCACUGUGCUGCCAUCUGAAACUUCAAGCUCAUUACUGAAACCAUGCUUCCUCUCAGCAUCACGAGAAGAUCACAACAGAUGCAGAUCACCACACUUAGCUAGUGGUAUUGUAAAAUCUCUUCAUUACUGACUUUCAUCUUUGCCUGCUUAUGUAUAAAAUUGAAUCAAAUGUUUAUAUUUUCUCAUUUACUACAGGUUUAAUUACAUCACAUUAGAUAUAAUCAUAUUUUUAUUACUUGCCAUGCUUUUCAAUUACAGCAACAUAUUUAAACACUGAAAAUAUUUCAAUAUUAUAUUUUUAUUAUUUAAAACGUUAUUUUAAUUAAAAUAAUCAAUUAUAUUAUACUAUUCCCCCAAGUUCUUAAGUGCCUCGCCCACUUGCUCCCCAACUUAAACUCUUUGGCAAAAACAAAAUGAAGAUAUAAAAAUCCAAUCUAAAACAAUCUCUUUAAAUCAGAAAAAUAAAAUUAUAUUAAAAACAAACAACAUCAAAAACAAACAACAAAAUAAUCAAACAACAAUAAACAAAAACAAUUAAAAGAAGAACACCAAGCUGUAAACAGGUAAAAGCACACUCAUAAACUCUGAAAACUUUGGAGUGGAAUUACUUGGUAAUCAAUUACUGCUGUACUAGAGGCCUGUCCUAGUUGAUGUACCUUGUGUCACUCAUUCUAGAAAUUUAAAUUUGCUGUAAUAAGUUAUAUGUGAGAGUUCAGUUUUUAACCUUUACUCCAGUGCAAACAUUUUCUUUUUAUUUAUUUAUUUAUUUAUUUGUUUGUUUGUUUGUUUAUUUGUUUAUUUAUUUAUUAUUUGUUUGUUUAUCCAUUGAUUCAUUCCUUUUUAAAAUGUAAGAAAAUUAAAUAUAAUAAAAUAAAAAAAUUAUAGUAUUAAUAUACUAAUCAAUACCUGCAUGGAUUUACUACCUUCCUCAAUGUAAUAGUGUUUUAAUGUUAAUUGGAUCCCCAAAGCCUGUUUGCAUUAGAGGAUCUACAAGUAACUUCUGGGAACUUGCCCCCAGUAAAUUUUGUUUGGUAAAUAAAGAAGACAGAUGCUAUUAGGAGGGGAGGUGAGACAGCUGCACAAUUUAAGAUUCUCAGGCUUGGAACUAUGAGAAAAAAGAAAGGCAGACAAAGGCACUACUUGAGGAUUGUUCACAGGAGAAAAAUGGAGCCACUAUAUAAAAAGGCCAGGAGAACAUGGCCCAGAGGGCUGCUCAAUUAAGUCAAGUGAAGCCCAAAACAGAACAAAGAUAUUAAUGUUUGUAACUCAUGGUUAUCUGUGGGAGGUAGAUUACAACAUCAUAGUGGUUAGGCAGUUGCUCAGCUAUUGUGUUGUUUAAAUCAUAUUAAACAGAAGGCUGUGUGUUUUUCAUUCAUGAAAAUAAAACAUUGAAACAGGUAGUCACCAAUGAAAGAAUAAUUUAAAAAAUAAUACUACAACUAUGGCAAUGACAUUGAGCAAGUAAAUUCAACAAUAAGACAUAAGCCCAAGACAAGGCACAAUAAUCAGAAAUAAACCUAUUUGUACACUCAGAUAUCCCAGAAAAUCCCUUAAUUGAAAUUGAUGUAUAUGUGAGGAUGACUUAAUAUAUUCCCAAGGAUCACAGGGAUGCAGCACUGUUAGUCAACGUAGGCACUGACCUGACAUCUCCAUUUUAAUGCAAUUUGUAAAUACUGUUAUCAACAAUGUGUCUGUGCUGUAAAUUUGGGGAGAGGACCUUAUAACGUUGGCAACAAUUUGGGUUGUUUAGAAAUAUCUAUUCUAUUUAGGACAGCAUUUUUGACCCACAUCUCAAUUAAAUGUAAACCAAUUCCAGUACUGGAAGCUGUGUUUGUUGACAAGUGAGACCCAUUAUUUGCUGAUUUCAUUUAGAUUGCAUGCAUAAACACACAGACACACACACACACACACACACACACACACACACACACACACACACAAAUUUCUACAGUUUUUGUUGUAUUAUAUUUCCAUACUAGCCCCCAGUACGCCUCUAGUGCCCUUUAGUUUUAGCUAAUCCUCCUGAAUUCCACAACCUACUCUCCUUACCCUAGCUGUUACUACAUGUUUUCUCUUCCACAGGCAAUUCCCCUAGUGAUUCCAGCCCCAUUCCAAAUCAUUUAGUUUUGUCUAGUCUCUUACUUUUGUCAGAGUAUGCUUUGAGAAACUUACACAUUAUAAGAUAUUAAGAAAAAAUGCCUAGUAUUUGCUUUACCUAAUGACUAUCCUGAAUGCAACAUCUGGGACAAUGACCAAUGAAGGUGGCUAUAAUAUGUAUCAGAUGGUUUUUAAAACAGCAGAUAUUGAGGUGUUUAAAAUCUGUAUAUAUUAGUUUUCCAUUUAUGUUUAUGGAAUUUCAUUUUUGUAACUAUUUUUUGAAUUAUUUUUCAAAUCAUGAAAGUGGCUAGAGAUUUUCAAGCAUUUUUAUUUUCUUUACUGAACAUUGAAAUGCUUAUGUAGUCCUUUGUCAUUACUUGUAUUAAUGUCAUAGUACUUUACAGGAGGUCUUUAUCUAUGUUAAGAUAUUCCUAGUUAUUUAGGUAACAUUUAAAAUAUAAUAGCAUAACUACUUUUCUGUUGGAUGGUUUGGAUUGUAUUUGUAUAUAAAUUCAUUUUGUAUUAUUAUUUGAUGUUUUUCACACAUAUUUUAAUUAGCAUCUUUCCCCGUUUCCAACUACUGCCAGAGCUUUCUGUCUCCCUACAAUAAAAUUUCAUCCUCCCUUGGCUGUGUACAAGCUAACGAUCUCUGUGUCUGUCUUAACCCCCACAAUAAAAAUGAAACAACAAAAACAUAAACAAAUUAAAAACCCAACAAUGCAAAAAUAUACAAAAAUAAAAUGACUCAAAUACCCAGAAGAGAAUAAUGAA